GGACUCUCAAUAAUUCAACACAUUUCCGCCAGGGUCUCAACGUUCGCCCGAUUCUUCUCCACGGUUUCGCGCCUCAAUCUUUCCGGAUCGAGCGGACAUGUUUUAUUCACCGAGUAACCUCUAUCGUGUUCUUAAGUUACUUCUCGUGUGACCGAUUUAACGAAUUUUUUGCGUUUUCGGUUUAGAUGAUCCGUUUUUUGGUUUUUGGAAUUGCAAAUUUAUCGGCACGAUUUUAUAUAAUGAUAAAUCCUAAUGCUACGAUGAUAGGUAACCUAAGAGGUUAGGUUUCAUAUAAGUUGAUAAAGUUUAAGAUUAAUAACGGUGAUUUUUUGUGACAGAUUUUUUAUUUUUGCUAAGUGAAUUUGAAAAAUUGAUAUUAUGAUUGAAUUGAUACUAACAAGAGUAUAAAUUUUUCGAUUUAAUUGUGAUGUUAUUAGAUUUCGUCAAAAUGGUGUAUUUGGCAGGACGUUUGACUAAACCAGUUUACGAAAUGUAAUUUAAUAGCAUUCUUGAGAAACGUAUGGUAUUGAUUAACAAUUUGAGACCCCUUGCUGUGCCAAGAAGAGGUUUCUUUAGUAGGGGUAGUUCGAUAAUUCAGCUGUAUCUAUACAAGGCUUCUCACGAGAUCACCGAAAAUUUCACUGCUUGUUUCCUUUGAAGAAGAAUUAUCAAGAAUACAUUUCAACCAAAAAAAAAAUUCCAAUUAAAUUAAAACAAAGAAUACCUGCAACUCGUAUACGUGUGAGGGACGACUGUGUUCAUAAAAAUCCCCGUAAACGCGAACAGUCGGCAUUUUUACGGCUUCGUCGCGUACCAUAAAACUGGUAGACAAUUUUUCCACCUACGAGCCCUGAACGUGAAACAUCGAGUAUCGAUAUCGUUCAAAAAUUGACAUUUUUAUAUAUUUACGAGGUUGCACUCAAUCGAUAAUCGAUACACUUGAACGAAGUUGAAAUCGAACCAAUAAAAUUGACCAUGAUUUUAUACGAAAUAUUGAGCUGAAUUUGAUUAAAAGUGAAGUGAUUUCUUCUUUUUGGACGAAGAAAAAUGGAUUGUUUACGCGAAAAUAAAAAUAAAAAUUUUUGAUUAUUGAUCGAAAGUUUCGAAAAGAUUGAGUUAAGAUUUCGCACGAAAGGAAUAAAUUACUUUAAAAUUGCGUGAAACUACAAGAGAGAGAGAGAAAAACAAAAAAGAAUUCUAUCGACUGGCAACGAAAGUUUCCUUGGCAGAAACGAUACGAUUGUAUCUGGGAUCUGGUGGCCGAAUAACAGGAAAAUUAGCACAAGAUCGUGCCCCUCGUGUAUGCACGUGUGUUUGUGUGUGAAUGUCCCUGCUGUUGAUACAGUAGCUAUCGAUAGAAGUGGGUCGGUUCGUUAGUCUGUCCCAGCCUGUUUUCAGCGAACGUGUCCAUCCGACAAGAGGAUGUUUCAAGUCUCUCUCUCGUACGUAACCGGUUAUACAGGGUUAUAAAAGACAUUGCAACUUGCGUGAGAGAUCGAUUGCGAUGGUGUGAUUACGAGGGAAAAGAAAAGAAAAAAAUAAAAAAUAAAUUGGAAUCACACGCGUGUAAUAUUUGCAUACAUGUUGUACCACGUGUAACCGCUUUGACGACUUGAAAGUGUCAUACAGAUAAAAUUAUAUCAUAAUAAGAAACAGUGGCUUGUAACUUGAACUCUUUUCCCUUUGCGUUUAUCGAAGAUAAUAAGUGGAAAGUAAAAACUUGAGCACAGAAGUUAAUAUAAAAGGGACAAAUUUUAAUAAUAGAAUUAUAAAUAACAAACUCGUACAAUUAUUCUUAUUCAUCUAUGAUACUUUCUCCACGUUUACAUGUAAUCAUCUAGAUAUCCCAGUGUACAUUUGUUAAAAUGUAAAUUCCAAAUAUGUUUUCGAAUCGUGAGAUUAGAACGUUUGAGUCGCGAAUAGAACGAUUUCCUAUUAAAUUUUGAAUCUGUGAUGCAAGAAAUAGAGAGAAAUAGAGAGAGAGAAAGAGAGAAAGAAAUAGAAUAUAUAUAUAUAGAGAGAGAGAAAGAGAGAGAAAGGGGGUUGAGUCGAAGAGGGUAAAAAGGAGGGGGCGUGACACGCUUAUCAGGAGGCAAAACAACACCAUAUCUAUAUAGGUAUAUUUCAAUACGAUAAUGUCACACGGUGCAACCAGCGUUAUUACAACACGAUCUUGGUAUACGUACACGGAAUAAACAUGGGUAGUUGAUACUACGGAUUCGUCCCAGGUGUAAAAGAAACAGGAAGAAGCUAAAUCGUAGACAGUAAUAGAAACAGAGAGACUUUAUAUUUAUAUAGUAGAGGAGAGAGAAAAAAUAUGUGUGUACUGUCCUUCUCAAUCAAAACGUAUAUGUUCAACUCAAAUCUCUCGAAAAAUCUUUUAAUAUAUGAUUUCAAACAUAAUCUUUUAUUCAAGGAUAUAUAAUUUCUCAAAUAAAAAUAAUAAACGAAUAAAAACUACAAGAUUUUAAUUAAAAAGAACAGUGUGUGUAUGUGUAUGUACGUGUAAGUACGUGUGUACGGUAAUUGAUAAAGAGCUACUAAAGAUAAAUAGCAUUAACCCGUGCCAGCUGGAAUCUAAGGCAAGGGUGUGUAUUUUCAUAUUUAUCUUAAGAAAGAGAGAAAGAAAGAGGGAAAGAGAGGGAGAAAAAAAAAAUGAUAAAAAAAGGGGGGAAAGAAAAUUGCGGGCAGUUUCUUUGUACUUUAUGUGUAAGUAUAUAUAUAUAUACAUAUAUAAAAUAUAUAUAUAUAUAUAUUGUAUAUAAUCGUACAGAGAGAAAGAAGAUGGAUGUAAUUGUAGGGAGCCCGCGGGAGCUCUCUCGCGUUUUUAUCGAGCAUCUUUUUCUCUCUCGAUGCCUAUACGUCGUGAAACGGGGUAUUACCUGAAGGUCCUGUUUCGCCGCCUCUGCACCGGCCCUCGUGUGAAAAGUCACGAAACCCACCGGCUGAAAUCAGAAACGAAAGCACGUGUCAUUUGGAUUUUUCUUCGUUCCCUUUUUUUUUUUUUUUUCGUUCAUUUCAUCAUCGAAAAAGGAAACGUUUCUUCAAAAGGAAGGAUUAGUGCGAACAAAAGUACGGAUAGUUUUACUAAAAUUUUCAGAAAGUUUGCGUUUAAGUUCUAAAGAAAUAUUUAUACUCCAUUGUGUAUAUUUAAAAAAUUUGUAUUUCUCAUGCGUGUUACAUAGGGUGGUGAUCUCUUGAGAGGAUUAAAAAGGGAAUGCUUUUAGAUAUCAUAAAAUUAAGAAAGAAUUUACAUCUAGCUAAAAGGGCAAAAGAAAAGAGGAGUCAUUUUUAUUUGUUGUUUUUCUUUUAUCGGUUUUCUACGUUUGUAUAAAGUAUUUUUAAAAAUUAUAUAUAUAUUCUGAAAGUAAUAUUUGUACUUUUCACAGAUACAUCGUGAAGGUUAAGAAGGUUCAAAGGAAACCUCGUCCAGGGAAACAAUGAUUUCAAGAAUAUUGUAAGAGUAUAAUAAAAUUUUAUUAGAAAAGUC
Long non-coding RNA from Apis cerana (Asiatic honeybee), 3490 nucleotides. RefSeq lists it as uncharacterized. The record is from RefSeq and is a predicted model, not a curated record. NCBI's taxonomy places the organism in Eukaryota, Metazoa, Arthropoda, Insecta, Hymenoptera, Apidae.